This 497-nucleotide ribosomal RNA is filed under the name uncultured bacterium. RNAcentral's name for it is "partial 16S ribosomal RNA". It matches the Rfam family "Bacterial small subunit ribosomal RNA", at positions 28 to 507 of the family's 1533-position model. The record is from RNAcentral.
GACGAACGCUGGCGGCGUGCCUAAUACAUGCAAGUUGAGCGCUGAAGGUUGGUGCUUGUACCUACUGGAUGAGCAGCGAACGGGUGAGUAACGCGUGGGUAAUCUGCCUUUGAGCGGGGGACAACAUUUGGAAACGAAUGCUAAUACCGCAUAAAAACUUUAAACACAAGUUUUAAGUUUGAAAGAUGCAAUUGCAUCACUCAAAGAUGAUCCCGCGUUGUAUUAGCUAGUUGGUGAGGUAAAGGCUCACCAAGGCGAUGAUACAUAGCCGACCUGAGAGGGUGAUCGGCCACAGUGGGACUGAGACACGGCCCAAACUCCUACGGGAGGCAGCAGUAGGGAAUCUUCGGCAAUGGACGAAAGUCUGACCGAGCAACGCCGCGUGAGUGAAGAAGGGUUUCGGAUCGUAAAACUCUGUUGGUAGAGAAGAACGUUGGUGAGAGUGGAAAGCUCAUCAAGUGACGGUAACUACCCAGAAAGGGACGGCUAACUACGUG